RNAcentral lists this ribosomal RNA (453 nucleotides) under uncultured bacterium. Its description in RNAcentral is "SSU rRNA". It matches the Rfam family "Bacterial small subunit ribosomal RNA", at positions 26 to 518 of the family's 1533-position model. The record is from RNAcentral.
AGGAUAAACGCUGGCGGCGUGCCUAACACAUGCAAGUCGAACGUCCUACGCAAGUAGGGAGUGGCGGACGGGUGAGUAACACGUGGGCAAUCUACCUUUCGGUGAGGAAUACCGGCGAGAAAUCGCCGACAAUACCGCAUACGCUUCGCAAGAAGCAAAGUCGCAAGACGCCGGAGGAGGAGCCUGCGCCCGAUUAGCUGGUUGGUGAGGUAAAAGCUCACCAAGGCGUCGAUCGGUAGCUGGUCUGAGAGGAUGAUCAGCCACACUGGGAUUGAGAACGGCCCAGACUCCUACGGGGGGCAGCAGUGAGGAAUUUUCGUCAAUGGGGGAAACCCUGAACGAGCAACGCCGCGUGCAGGAUGACGCUUCUCGGAGUGUAAACUGCUUUUCUCGGGGAAGAGAACGGACGGUACCCGAGGAAUCAGCCCCGGCUAACUACGUGCCAGCAGCCGC